UACGAAGGGGGCGAGCGUUGUCCGGAAUCAUUGGGCGUAAAGAGCGUGUAGGCGGCCCGGUAAGUCCGCUGUGAAAGUCCAGGGCUCAACCCUGGGAUGCCGGUGGAUACUGUCGGGCUCGAGUCCGGAAGAGGAGUGUGGAAUUCCUGGUGUAGCGGUGAAAUGCGCAGAUAUCAGGAGGAACACCAAUGGCGAAGGCAGCACUCUGGGACGUGACUGACGCUGAGACGCGAAAGCGUGGGGAGCAAACAGG
RNAcentral lists this ribosomal RNA (253 nucleotides) under uncultured bacterium. RNAcentral describes it as "partial 16S ribosomal RNA". It matches the Rfam family "Bacterial small subunit ribosomal RNA", at positions 524 to 776 of the family's 1533-position model. The record is from RNAcentral.